ACACUGGUGGUUCAGUGGUAGAAUUCUCACCUUCCAUGUGGGAGACUGGGGUUUGAUUUCUGACCAAUGUA
This 71-nucleotide transfer RNA is filed under the name Loxodonta africana (African savanna elephant). It matches the Rfam family "tRNA". Rfam says of the family: Transfer RNA (tRNA) molecules are approximately 80 nucleotides in length. Their secondary structure includes four short double-helical elements and three loops (D, anti-codon, and T loops). Lineage: Eukaryota; Metazoa; Chordata; Mammalia; Proboscidea; Elephantidae. The record is from Rfam by way of RNAcentral.